UUGUUUGGAGAGUUUGAUCCUGGCUCAGGACGAACGCUGGCGGCGUGCUUAACACAUGCAAGUCGAACGGAAAGGCCCUUCGGGGUGCUCGAGUGGCGAACGGGUGAGUAACACGUGGGUGAUCUGCCCUGCACUUUGGGAUAAGCCUGGGAAACUGGGUCUAAUAC
RNAcentral lists this ribosomal RNA (167 nucleotides) under Mycolicibacterium mageritense. Its description in RNAcentral is "partial 16S ribosomal RNA". It matches the Rfam family "Bacterial small subunit ribosomal RNA", at positions 1 to 169 of the family's 1533-position model. Lineage: Bacteria; Bacillati; Actinomycetota; Actinomycetes; Mycobacteriales; Mycobacteriaceae. The record is from RNAcentral.